AUGACGUCAAGUCAUCAUGCCCCUUAUGUCCAGGGCUUCACACAUGCUACAAUGGCCGGUACAAAGGGCUGCGAUGCCGUAAGGUUAAGCGAAUCCUUUUAAAGCCGGUCUCAGUUCGGAUUGGGGUCUGCAACUCGACCCCAUGAAGUCGGAGUCGCUAGUAAUCGCAGAUCAGCAACGCUGCGGUGAAUACGUUCCCGGGCCUUGUACACACCGCCCGUCACGUCAUGAAAGUCGGUAACACCCGAAGCCAGUGGCCUAACCUUUUGGAGGGAGCUGUCGAAGGUGGGAUCGGCGAUUGGGACGAAGUCGUAACAAGGUAGCCGUACCGGAAAGUGCGGGUGGAUC
This 348-nucleotide ribosomal RNA is filed under the name Mycobacterium colombiense. RNAcentral's name for it is "bacterial SSU rRNA". It matches the Rfam family "Bacterial small subunit ribosomal RNA", at positions 1179 to 1524 of the family's 1533-position model. The record is from RNAcentral. Lineage: Bacteria; Bacillati; Actinomycetota; Actinomycetes; Mycobacteriales; Mycobacteriaceae.